GAUGAACGCUAGCGGCAGGCCUAAUACAUGCAAGUCGAACGAUAGUGAGAAGCUUGCUUCUCACGAAAGUGGCGCACGGGUGCGUAACGCGUAUGCAACCUACCUUAAUCAGGUGGAUGGCCCGAAGAAAUUCGGAUUAACACCGCAUAAAAUCACAGUAUAGCAUUAUACAAUGAUCAAAUAUUUAUAGGAUUAAGAUGGGCAUGCGUGACAUUAGUUAGUUGGCGGGGUAACGGCCCACCAAGACCACGAUGUCUAGGGGAUCUGAGAGGAUGACCCCCCACGCUGGUACUGAGACACGGACCAGACUCCUACGGGAGGCAGCAGUAAGGAAUAUUGGUCAAUGGAGGCAACUCUGAACCAGCCAUGCCGCGUGCAGGAAGACAGCCCUCUGGGUCGUAAACUGCUUUUAUUCGGGAAUAAACCUAUCUACGUGUAGAUAGCUGAAUGUACCGAAGGAAUAAGGAUCAGCUAACUCCGUGCCAGCCGCCGCAGUAA
This 498-nucleotide ribosomal RNA is filed under the name uncultured bacterium. RNAcentral describes it as "partial 16S ribosomal RNA". It matches the Rfam family "Bacterial small subunit ribosomal RNA", at positions 28 to 523 of the family's 1533-position model. The record is from RNAcentral.